CAAACGAUAACAAGUGCAAAAAGCAAUUGUAAGAAAUUACAAAUUUAGAAAAUAAAAUGCACACAUAUGCGUCUUACAGAACACCCAGUUUCCAGAUUAACGCAUUGACUUCGGUUAGCCAUCCUUUUUCGUCUAGCUUUCAGAUUUCAAGGACGGAGCGGAUGUAUCUACGCUGUCCGGAAGGGUCACAGCGGCGAAUCCGUAGAUCGUGAUUAAUGGAGCGGGUCGAGCGGGAUCUACGUGCCGACGAAUCGAGGAGCGCUUAGCGUGAAAUUUACCCGAUGAAUUGUUCUCACAAUUAUCAUGAUCUACGGGUUCUCGGGGAUCCAAGAAACACGAAAGUCUCGAAGCAGUCGGCUAAUCUCUGUUCGGCGAACCCUUCACUUUGGCACCCCCUUCCCACCCUCUCUGCCUCCCUGCCGGCGCGCGGUCUUCUCUUCCUCACAGCCGCUGGCAUCACCCUUUCGGGGCACCUUCUCACCCACACCCACACCCGCGCGAUACUUUUCGACGGGGAACGGUUUCGCCGACGCGAGAAUCUCGGAAAUUUUUAAGUCGAUCGCGAAACUAUAAUUAUCCUUUAGGCUAUGCGCGGAGUAUGCAGUGAGUAGGUGCGCGCCGACCUUCGCAACACGGUUGCCCGAUAUUCUCUCUCAAAUUUUCCUUGAAAUAUCGUCAUAUAUAUCAAAAAUAAAUCAACAAGAUCAAUUUAAGGUAAAAUGACGUGAAAUGUUUUUAUAUAAGUUUUUUUUUUUCUCUUAACAUCGUCAUCGUCUGUUGGGAAGAAAAGGAAUUGGUUACAUGCCACUGGUUAAAUGUUUCAUUUUGCGAUAUUCUCGCGUGUCGAUAUUAUUUUUUUGGCUAGCCGAUGCAAGAUUUUUUUUUUCUCCCGCUACAGAACCGCUUUUAUUCCGCUUCGCGGACAGAUUGAUCAUCGACGAAGACGGAACGCUGCUAGACACUUUCAAGUAUCUUCCGAGAUUGCUUCCCCACAUUAUAGAAGAAUUUUGGAUGUUCGUGCAAAGUGAUUUAUGAAGGAUUUCUUGCCCGAGCUAAAAACCAUUUUGACCGGUGCAACGGCAAUCUCGGUCACGGUGAUUUGAUCAAAUCAACCCUACGUUAUUAUCUGCAAUUAAUGAAAAUUGCAAGGAUUACCGCCUUUCGAGUCCAUUGGGAAUCUCGCUGCAUGAUUUGCGGGAGCAACGUGUGCCGCCGCGUACCGUUACUUCGAAGUUGCGUGCAUACCUGCAUGUCUAUUACAAUUUUUAUGUCAAAAGUUUAACAUAAAAUUUGAGAUUACCGAUCCGGUAUAACAUUGUGCAAUUCUUUAUAAUGUCACGCAAUGCACAACGUCAAAAUUGGGUCAUCGUAUAUAUAAUACGAAUGGAGAGGUGACACGUUGUGCGAACUGAAAUAAAAAAGGAGGCGUGUCGGGGAGAACAUUACCCACCAGGGACGCAUUGUAAAGUGGCAAAGAUAUAGCCUCGGGCACUUAUUAAUAUACAGCUACUCGGUAAUUUCGACGUCUUCGGCAUGUUCGAUAGCUGUAUUGUUUGGAAAGCUGAAAAGAUGUGUGUGUGGUGUGUGUGAGUAAAGGUAUUCACAAAAUAUUUAAAAAGAUAUUGGCUGUGUGUGUUGUGUGUAUAUGUAAUAUAUUUUGUUAAAUUGUCGAUUAAUUUCUGCAAGCUGUCAUAAAAUUGAUAGCAAUUAAGAUAAUACAAUCAUUAUAAACAUAGAUAGAGAAGCACACUACUUAUAUAUAAUGUACAGGGUGGUAAAAAAUUAAUUUUUUACCACCCUGUACAUACAACUUACGAUGAGUGAUGAUAGUAUAAUAUGUGUAAU
Long non-coding RNA from Formica exsecta, 1845 nucleotides. RefSeq lists it as uncharacterized. NCBI's taxonomy places the organism in Eukaryota, Metazoa, Arthropoda, Insecta, Hymenoptera, Formicidae. The record is from RefSeq and is a predicted model, not a curated record. The transcript is spliced from 3 exons.